CAGGUUCGUUUACCUUGGCCAAUUCAAUAUCGCAAUAAGUAAAUAAAGCUUUAAACUUAGCAGGGAAAUUAGUGUUUCUCUUCUUCCUGCCAGUCUAAACAUAG
RNAcentral lists this small nucleolar RNA (104 nucleotides) under Otolemur garnettii (small-eared galago). RNAcentral describes it as "Small nucleolar RNA SNORA27 (ENSOGAG00000034780.1)". The record is from RNAcentral. Lineage: Eukaryota; Metazoa; Chordata; Mammalia; Primates; Galagidae.